Arabidopsis lyrata subsp. lyrata is the source of this 573-nucleotide long non-coding RNA. RefSeq lists it as uncharacterized. NCBI's taxonomy places the organism in Eukaryota, Viridiplantae, Streptophyta, Magnoliopsida, Brassicales, Brassicaceae. The transcript is spliced from 2 exons. The record is from RefSeq and is a predicted model, not a curated record.
GUUCCAAUCGAUCAACAUAAUCGCGCAACGAUCUAUUCCUAAAUCUGUUUCUCUAUUCUUAGAUAUGUUCUCUCCCUUGUGAUGUGUUUGAUUUUCAACCUCUAACGAUUUUUUAUCGUUCUAAGCGAGAUCUGCUGGAUUCGAUUUUUUAAGCGAGAUCUGUAUCUCUCUCUCUGUGUCCGGCUCUGUCAAUUUCAGAUCCUUGCAGGUUGAAGCAAAACACCUCAAGACAAGCAUCAUGUGCAUAUAUUUUCAAAUAACCUGCAGAUUGAACCAAAUCACCUCACCUAGAGGUUCUGCAGUUUUGGGCAUUGCUAAGAAGCUUGACAAGAUGAAUCAAACAUGUCCAAACCCUCCUAACUCGUCUUCUGAUACGAUUGCAUUCGUUGGAAAAGUAGAAAUUUAAUGAUGAUUUUGUUCCAUGUUGUACGUACCACAAAGUACUUACUCAACUUGUAUGCAUAUUUUAUAAGUUUGUAACAUAAGAAAAUUCCAUGUAACACUAUUGAUAGUUAUAUUUGGUGCUUUAAUUGUUAAAGUGAUUGCUAUUAUUAUACAACAAGUGACUCAAUA